GAUGAACGCUGGCGGCGUGCCUAAUACAUGCAAGUCGAGCGAACGGACGAGAAGCUUUCUUCUCUGAUGUUAGCGGCGGACGGGUGAGUAACACGUGGAUAACCUACCUAUAAGACUGGGAUAACUUCGUGAAACCGUAGCUAAUACCGGAUAAUAUUUUGAACCGCAUGGUUCAAAAGUUAAAGACGGUCUUGCUGUCACUUUUCGAUGGAUCCGCGCUGCAUUAGCUAGUUGGUAAGGUAACGGCUUACCAAGGCAACGAUGCAUAGCCGACCUGAGAGGGUGAUCGGCCACACUGGAACUGUGACACGGUCCAGACUCCUACGGGAGGCAGCAGUAGGGAAUCUUCCGCAAUGGGCGAAAGCCUGACGGAGCAACGCCGCGUGAGUGAUGAAGGUCUUCGGAUCGUAAAACUCUGUUAUUAGGGAAGAACAGAUGUGUAAGUAACUGUGCACAUCUUGACGGUACCUAAUCAGAAAGCCACGGCUAACUACGUG
RNAcentral lists this ribosomal RNA (497 nucleotides) under uncultured bacterium. RNAcentral describes it as "partial 16S ribosomal RNA". It matches the Rfam family "Bacterial small subunit ribosomal RNA", at positions 28 to 507 of the family's 1533-position model. The record is from RNAcentral.